GGGGAAUAUUGCGCAAUGGGGGAAACCCUGACGCAGCAACGCCGCGUGAAGGAUGAAGGUUUUCGGAUUGUAAACUUCUUUGAUGAGGGACGAAACAAAUGACGGUACCUCAAAAACAAGCCACGGCUAACUACGUGCCAGCAGCCGCGGUAAUACGUAGGUGGCGAGCGUUGUCCGGAAUUACUGGGUGUAAAGGGCGUGUAGGCGGGGAGACAAGUCAGAUGUGAAAUACCGAGGCUUAACUUCGGGGCUGCAUCUGAAACUGUUUUUCUUGAGUGUCGGAGAGGAAAGUGGAAUUCCCAGUGUAGCGGUGAAAUGCGUAGAUAUUGGGAGGAACACCAGUGGCGAAGGCGACUUUCUGGACGACAACUGACGCUGAGGCGCGAAAGCGUGGGGAGCAAAC
RNAcentral lists this ribosomal RNA (403 nucleotides) under uncultured bacterium. RNAcentral's name for it is "bacterial SSU rRNA". It matches the Rfam family "Bacterial small subunit ribosomal RNA", at positions 356 to 773 of the family's 1533-position model. The record is from RNAcentral.